UUCAGAAACUUAUCCAAAUCCAGUGUAUUUGGCACAGAAAUACUCUGUCCAAUUCAUGUUUUGAAACUUUGGCCAUGUUUAGCAUGAGAAUGCAACUCUUUAACAGUGUAAAUAAGUCAAAAAUCAAAAAUCUUUUAGUCUGUGUGAACAAACCUUCACGAAACAUUUGUAGCUCACCUGCCAUCCAAUAAUUGCAAAAAAGCUUUGUGCUUUGUAAUUUUAAAAUUCUGUCAAUUUUAUUAUGAAAUUCAAACAAUGUGGUUUUGGUGCUCUUUAAUACGCCGUGAGAGAUCACUGUACUGCCUCAGUUCAAGCGGCAGCACGGAUCAAGCGCAUGUGAACCAAUCAUCUUAUCUCUUCUUUACUACUAGUUACAGCACAAAAUAAACAUGAAUGAACAUCAGAAGGUAUUUUGAAAGAUACAUUACAACUUACUGAAACGAAUCCUGUCUCAUGUAAUUGCUCAAUCAGUGUUUCGACCGCGGAAUGAUGUCAAUAAAACAACAUGUCCUCCAACCUACAGUAUACGCCCAUAUAGGUCGUUUGUCACUUCCCUGAAAUAUGACCCAUAGGAGCAUUUGCUAAUGUUGCGCCCCUAUCGACAACAGGACACUUUAAUUUUAAUGCAUUGUACCCUUUUAUCUGCAUCAAUUUCGGGUUUCGCUUAGCUCAAAUGGUAGAGCAUUGCAAUAGGCAACAAAAUGCAAUCAUGUGAUCAUGCGAUCGUGGGUUCGAUCCCAGGGAACGCAUGUGCUCGUAAAGUGUAUAUGCACUAUUAAUGACUAAGGGUAGGUUUAGGGUUGGGGUAGGUGUGGUCGUUAAUAAAAAAAUGAGUUUUGCUAAAUGGAAAUAGGACAAAUGGUGUAAAAAGUCCACACAUUGCAUUUAAAUGAACUCGCAUUUUGAUCGGUAACGACGGUCAUAUGUCAUUUCAUGACGACAGACGUAACACGACACUGUCAUUAUUUUUACGCCGGCUAGAGGGCGCAUAAAACGUAAAUAUAGGUUGUAAUAAGGUUAUUGAAAACACUACCUAUAGGGUCUUUUUUUGGAGGAUAGUCUGAUAAAACCACAGUGUAACUUAAAGUUAAAUUUACCUUAAGAAAGCUAUUCAAUGUCCAUAAACUCUAGAGAAGAGCUUUUUGCUAAAUAUAUGCAUUAUUACAUAUUCAUUAUAUUUUUACUUAACCUGUUAUUAUUUUAUGUAUUUCUGAAUAAAUCUGUCAUGAAAACAAGUUAUUACAGUUUAUUGUCAUUUAAAUAUUUAUAUUUCACCAACAAACAGAAGUAGAAACAAUUUUGUUUUUACAAAGUUGAUAUAAAUACUGCCUCGUGUGCAAUUUAAAUGUUUGGACAAAUUUCAGUGUUGAUUAUUAAAAAAGUUUGAUUAAUUAAUUGAUUUCCCAUUUAUUUUUUAUUUUCGGUUUCUGUUUUCAGCUAAGUGCAUCCUUAAUUUUUAGUUUUGGCCCAGAAUUUACAUUUCUUUCCAUUCCUAGAUGUCAAUUUUUGAUUUUCAGAAAAACAUAAUCAGAGAAUGUCAAUUAUUAUUUUUUUUUUAUUAAAGAUUACGAGGGCACAUAUAGGCCUAUAUUUAAUAAAUUAUAGUAAUUAUGUAAUAAUAAAUCAUAAUGAUAAAUAAUUUAUAAUAAAUAUUGCAAUAUCCCAUAAAAAAAUAAUUGUCCAUUUGAUGGUGACUUUAAGUGGACUUAAUGACUGGAGAAGUCCAGCAUAAGUCACCAGAGAGAAGUUUGACGUUUCACCAUCGAGUAACAUUUUGACUAGAAAUUAAAACAAUUUUUGUAUUUCCAAUAAUAUAAUGCAUUUAGAAAUUGCAUACAUUAUAUGCCUAUUUCAUUAUAAUAAAAUGCAUUAAAAAAGAUUAAUUUCCAUUUCAAGGAACCAGAUAAUUGAGUCGAUCUCACAAAUCGAAUCAAAUCGAUGGUUGAACGAGCAAUUCGGAUAUUUUAAAAUGCAUCGGUCAAGUGAAAUGGAUCAACCGAUUCCUCACAAAGAUCCUAUUCAAGUGAAUCAUUCGUUCACUAAUCACAAAUCGCUCCUUAUGUCAUUGAAUGUUCUAUGGAGAGCUGCUGUAUAGCCUAGCGAAAAUCACGAGUUCCAGUCCUCACACAGUCGGUGUCAUAUGACUUCAGAAGUCCUGUAAUGUAUCAUACAAGACAUAUGGACUUGCUUUAUGUUAUCUUUUUUCUUUACAUUCACCCCUAUUCUUUGUCUUUCACUGGAAAAGACGACCAUGACGUUCCUACUUUUCUCUCCUGGGUAAGAAAAGACAAGAGGGGACUGUCUGAAAACUGGCAGAGACACUGAGGAUGAGAGAUUGUGCAUUAGAAAUGGAUUGCAGUUCAUAUCUGUUCCAGUUCUGUAUCUGCAGUGGAAUUACAGACCUCCAGGUGGGAAACACAGAUGAAAGAGCUGGAGAAUAUGGAAUGUUCGAUGGGAUUUCAGCAUUUGGGGGGCCUCAAACAGUACCUGAGAGCUGAUCUGAAAACAGCAGGGGGCCUUUGCUUGGAGAGCAAGAAAGAGAAAACAACAAAGAGAAAGAGGAAGAACGAGCGAAGAGGUGGCAGAGAUAUCAUGCCUCUCAGUGAUGUUACAUUGCCAAAUCUGGCUCCUCAACAAACACAAAGAUUCCCCUCAGGGAUGCUGAUUUUCCCCAUUAAUUCCAGAUUAACAGAGUGGACAUGGUGGAUUCUGCCAACUUGAAGCCGAUGUAUAAUUUGGAUACGGGACACGAGGUGCCGUAGCUUCAUUUAGAGGGAGAUACAGAUGGAAUGUUAAGGGGUGAGAGGUCCUUCGGAUACAGAUGGCUGAUCUAGAGGUCCAAAUAGGAAGCUAAACAAGCCUUCACAUCCCAUGGCACUUUCCCAUUGCCCUUGUGUGAUCCCGCCAGCGUGAGGCUGAAUGUGGAGGUCUAAGGUGUUGAGUAGAACAUGGUCAUAAAGAGAGUCCCUCUGGCUCAAGCUUUUCCCCAUGAUGUCACUACUGACCCAUGAAGACCCCUCCUUUCUGACCUAGACAAAAGUGGGAGUGAGGGACAAAUGAGAUCACAGCACUCUGAAUUAAUUCAGAGAGUGCUCACUUUGUGUAGGGUUUGCUGGGCCACAAGCAAAAGAGUGCUGCAGUGAUGACACAUUUUUAUAGGCCAGCCUGGAAGUUAGCAUCACCCUGGUUCCCUCGACAAAAACCCAGUAGGAUUUUUCUAUUGGCUUUGAUUUUUCUUUUAGCAAAAUUUUAAGAUUCUUACAGGUUUUUUCAUCAUGUUAAUCUUCACAAAUGAACAAAGCUUUUAUGAAAUUUGAACCCUAAAUACAAUCAUCAUAAGUAAAAAGCUAAAUUGUCUUAUAAAUGAACUACACCGUGGUCACAUGACUUCAGUGUCACCAUCAACUCUUUCAGUCUUUAUUUAAAAAAACAUUCUCCCUGAAAGUUUGAGUUUGAAUAAUUUGCAAGAGCGGGAUUAUAAACACAUUGAGGUUGUGAAAGUGGAUUAGUGAGUAGAUGAGUUUACCUGUUCGGCUUGAUGAUGUUUAAUGUCACCGACAACCUCUGUACUCGCAUUUAGUAGCUGCCUUUUUCAAGACAAGUAAAAAUGUUUAAAAAAAAUUGGUUACACUUUAAUUUAAUGGUCCACCAGUAGACAUUCUACUAAGUAACUUCACAACAUGUCAACUAACUCUCAUUAUAGUACAGUAGACUGUUAGGUGGUUCAGUUAGUAGAAUAAGUUAACAUGUUGUUGCAAAGUUACUUAAAGUCAGUGUUGGGGAAAGUUACUUUUAAAAGAAAUGCGGUACAAUAUUUUGUUACUCCCUAAAAAAGUAACUAAUUGGAUUACUUAGUUACUUUUUAUGGAAAGUAAUGUUACAUUACUUCUGCGUACAAUGCCUCUGAAACUGAUUUCUCUCAACACGAGACAAGAGAGGUGUCAGUCAAUAAAUGAGAAAACAAAGUAACUUGCGUUACCUACUUUAAAAAGUAACUCCUUUUUGCGUGAUGGAAGCACCUGAUGUUUCCAAAAUUAUGAUUUUAUUCAAAAAGAUACAGAAUAUAAAUGUUUAAGAUGUUAAAAUAUGUUCUCAGAAUUGUACACUGAUUAUUUAUGAACAGGUUAUGGAAUCAGUCACAACAUUUUUCGGCUACGAGUGAAAUGCAGCCAUCUCCAGCACGAGAUCCAGCGCCGUUACGGUGGAAGGAAACAGGACAACAGAGACCGACUUGAAUUACUUCUAAAUGUUUAAUUUUUACUUCUAAUAUUUGUUAAACAAGCUUAAAUGUAGGCAAUAUAUAUUAUAAAACGAUAUAAUAUAUGCUAUACUAUAAAAUAUGAUCAAAAAUAAAGGAAUCAUCAUGCAAACCUGUGGUUGUGUGGAGUAUAUUUUUUUUUUAAAUUAGAGGAUUUAAUUUAAUCCAUAAACAUUAAUUGGUAACACU
Megalobrama amblycephala (Wuchang bream) is the source of this 4447-nucleotide long non-coding RNA. RefSeq lists it as uncharacterized. The transcript is spliced from 5 exons. The record is from RefSeq and is a predicted model, not a curated record. Lineage: Eukaryota; Metazoa; Chordata; Actinopteri; Cypriniformes; Xenocyprididae.